Molecule: long non-coding RNA, 549 nt
Filed under: Homo sapiens (human)
Lineage: Eukaryota; Metazoa; Chordata; Mammalia; Primates; Hominidae
Description: HSALNT0240388
Source: RNAcentral
GAGGUUGAAGUAGCAUUUUCCAAUAGUCAUUCUGCCUUAUUUACUUCAGUCCUUGAUGGAAAUUCUUUCUCAAGUGCAUCACCAGCUCCCUGCUUCUGAGAAUGGACACUCCAAGAUUUGAACUUUUCUGCAGAUGGAGUCUCUCUCUGGAGUGCAGAGUCUGGAGUCUCUCUCUGAGUGCACCCAGGCUGGAGUGCAAUUGCAUGAUCUCGCUUCACUACAACCUUCACUUCCCAGAUUCAAGUGAUUCUCCUGCCUCAGCCUCCUGAGUAGCUGGGAUUACAGGCCUGCAUCACCACACCCAGGUAAUUUUUGUAUUUUUAGCAGAGAUGAGGUUUCGCCAUGUUGGCCAGGCUGGUCUUGAACGCCUGACCUCAGGUGAUCCACCUUCCUUGGCCUCUGAAAGUGCUGGGAUUACAGGUGUGAGCCAGUGCACCAGCCUUUUUUUUUGAGAGAGGGUCUCACUGUGUUGCCCGGGCUGGAAUGCAAACACAGCUCACUGCAGCCUUGACCCCCUACCAAACUCAAGCAAUCUUCCUGCCUCAGCCU